UACGGAGGGUGCAAGCGUUAUCCGGAUUUACUGGGUUUAAAGGGUGCGUAGGUGGGUUGGUAAGUCAGUGGUGAAAUCUUCGAGCUUAACUCGGAAACUGCCAUUGAUACUAUCAAUCUUGAAUAUCCUGGAGGUAAGCGGAAUAUGUCAUGUAGCGGUGAAGUGCUUAGAUAUGACAUAGAACACCCAUUGCGAAGGCAGCUUACUACGGGAUUAUUGACACUGAGGCACGAAAGCGUGGGGAUCAAACAGG
Molecule: ribosomal RNA, 253 nt
Filed under: uncultured bacterium
Lineage: Bacteria
Description: partial 16S ribosomal RNA
Rfam family: Bacterial small subunit ribosomal RNA
Source: RNAcentral